AAUAUCCAACAGUAAGAGCUGCCAGAGUACUAAAGAAACAUUGAGUUAUCCGAGUCUUAUUGAAAAAGGGAUCAACAUUGCUAAAUAUUCUAACUACCAUCAUGUUGUGACAAGAUUAAUAAAACGUGCCCGCAAGGUACUAAGGCCCAAUUUCCACUAUCAAUAAAAACUUUUAGCAAAUCAAUUGCAUCUUGGAAGGUCUGCAUUCGAAGCUAUGGUGAGUUUUUUGAGCGGCAGCUUGAAAUAUGUCUCAUCAAGCAACGCAGGAAAUGGAGAGCAAUGCACAAACCCACCUGUAUGCUCAAAACGGAACUCUGGAUUUUUUGGGCCAGCCUGCUCUGAAGAAGGAAACUGGAAACUGGACCGGAGCGAUCCCUAUGAUCUGUCAAGUUUCUCCAACUGUUUGCAAAGCUUUCAGUGUCUUGACUUUGCUAGUGUGUUGCAGUCAUCCAAGUAGUUGCGACGGUCAUCUUCUUCGGCAUAAUCUCCAACCUGCUGACAUGUUAUGCAUCGAGAUGUUUCUCAAUCCGCAAGUGACGCUAACAAUUUGCAGGGCACUUACUUUCUCUCCUCAGUUCUUGGGGCUUUUCUCUCCGACACAUACUGGGGCCGCUACAGGACGCUGCUGUACUCUUUCGUGCUCUAUGGCGUGGUGAGUACUUGAAAUUCUAUCUGCAAAAGUAGCUUUACCAACACCAAUCCAAAAACAAAAACUGAAAAACUUACCAGGGAUUGACAUGCAACACCAUCUCCGCAUCCCUCAAGAACUUGCGGCUUACAAGCUGCCCGGCUCAAAGCCCCACUUGCCAGCAAGCAUCGCCCGGGCUGAAUGCUUUCCUCUUCCUCUCGCUCUACGCACUUCGCAGGUGGAAGCUACCACCUCAUUCGUGUCCUUCGGAGCCGACCAGUUUGACAACUUCAUCGUCUGGGGCAUUCACAUCGGAGGCUUGGUUUCCGUCACCAUGAUCGUAUACAUUGAAGAUCACGUCGGUUUCUCGUGGGGAUUUGGCCUUCUCGGCCUUAUCCUUGCGGUAUCCAUAGCUCUGUUCCUCAUCCAGACCACCAGAUACCGGUACCGUAGGCCCGAAGGAAGCCCCCUUACGAAAAUGGUGCAAGUCACGGUAGCAGCUUUCAGCAAGCGUAACGUCGUUGCACCAUCCCUGAAGAACAGUCGAUUGCCAAAGGGAAAAGACACAUUCCACACACUAACCAGUUCCGGUGAGUGACUGUAGCUCUCGACUUUUCCCUGUUCUUAGCUUCGUUCGUGACAAGGCAGCACUGAAGCUCGAUACCGACAUGGAGAUGGAGUCUUCCACGACGAAAACCAGCCCCUGGAAGCUUUCCACCGUGACCCGAGUCGAGGAAGUCAAGCUCGUCAUACGAAUGCUCCCAAUCUGGUUGGCAACGCUCUGGUUUAGCAUUGCUCCAUCUCAGUCCGCCACCUUCCUCCGCCAAGGAAUGGCUAUGGACAACCGGCUUGGAAGCACCAUCCCGCCAGCAACCUCACCGUGGUCCUCUUCCUCCCACUCUACGACCGUAUCAUCGUCCCAACCAUAAGAAAGUUCUCCGGGAACGAGCGUGGCAUCACCUUGCUCCAGAGAAGCGGGCUGGGAAUCUUCAUCGCCGCCAUCGGCCUGGGCAUCGCAGCGCUGAUGGAAAUCAAGAGAAAAGCCUGGAUGAAUCCCACCACCACCGUCACGAUCUUCUGGCUGGUGCCGCACUACGUGGUGCUGGGCAUAGCGGAGGGCCUCACAAACUCAAGCCAGCUGGAAUUCUUCCACGAGCAAUCGCCCGACACCUUCCACAGCCUGGGCACGUCCCUGGCGCUCGCGAACCUGGGUGUGGGGAGCUUCUUGAGCAUUCCCUGCGUCAAUCGCGCGGCGCCGUCGUGGCUCCGGAACGGUGUGAAUUCCGGGCAUCUGGAGCGCUACUACUGGCUGAUCUUGGGGCUGAGCCUCGUGAAUCUGGCGAUCUUUGUGCCGGUCGCGCGCUGGUACUCGUACAAGAGCCCUGAUCCCUAAGCUCUAAGAACCCUAAAAUGCCC
This 2044-nucleotide long non-coding RNA is filed under the name Selaginella moellendorffii. RNAcentral's name for it is "long non-coding RNA (SMOE_LNC000163)". Lineage: Eukaryota; Viridiplantae; Streptophyta; Lycopodiopsida; Selaginellales; Selaginellaceae. The record is from RNAcentral.